Molecule: long non-coding RNA, 3505 nt
Organism: Gallus gallus (chicken)
Lineage: Eukaryota; Metazoa; Chordata; Aves; Galliformes; Phasianidae
Source: Ensembl
UGAACAGUGAGGGUGAGAGGCCCAUAGUCCCCUCUCUGUGCUGUAAGUGUAAGCAGGAUCUUGCAGUGUGGUGCUGAGAGCUGAAGGAGGUGCCUGAGGAAGAGAGAAAAACCGCAGGGAAAUGACAGCAAAGCCUUCUUUUAUAGAACAGAGAAUUACAGGCCAGCUGCAAGAGAGAGUGUAGCACUGAUACUGUUGGGCAGUAGAAGUGUUUGUGAAGACAGGACAUGAUACUAACAAGAGAGUGAUGUGUCCAUGUUUGUGUCCUUUUGAAGAUAAGUAGGAAGAAGAAAAGUGAGAAAAGAGAGAAGACAGGAAGAAAGGAAAAGGAAGAGGAAGAGGAAAAGGAAAAGGAAGAAAGAGGAAGAAAUCAAGGCAACAGAGAAGGAGCAUCCUUCAUGCCAUGGAAAAAGGCUGGCAGAGCAUCAAAAGGCCCCAAACUAUUGUAUCUGAUGGUGCUGCAGUAGAGGGAGCAACGCUGGUCUGAAGACAGGAAGAAUGGCUCCUCAGCCUUGCAUUCCUUCUCAGGCUUCUCAGAAGAUCUCUCCGUAACUGUGUCUAUCAAAUUCUGGAAGGGGAGGUAAUAUAUAUUGUGAAGGAGACAAAGAAGGUAAGAGGUGGGAGAACAAUGACAAGAAAAUGAGAUCCAGGAGGGAUUGGACAGGCAAAGAUUACAUAUAGAGAGAUUCCUUUAAGCAAUCAAACUCCUGUUUUGGGAUUAAGCACUGCAAAGUUGUGUCCAUGUCUUCUAUCUUCCCACUAAAGUGAUAAAGAUAGCAACUGACAGAGAUAAGAGUUUUAAGCCUUUUUCUACCUCCACAGUGAAUUGUUAACCUGUCUUUUCGAUGGUCUUUUAAAAGGGUAAGGUAAUAUUUACUGAGUCUAACUAUUCAGGGCCUGAGUGGAUGGAGCCUAGAGCAACCUGAUCUAGUAGCAUAGUAGGGGGUUGGAACUUGGUGAUCUUUAAGGUCUCUUCCAAUUCAAAUUAUUCUGUGAUUCUAUGAUACUGUGAGAGAUGCAAUAUUUUUCAAGUAGAAAUUUUUUCCUAAAAUGAAUUAAAGACUACAAGAGAAUCUUGCAGAACAUGAAUUGGUGUGACAAUCAGCUAUUUGCAAGCACCUUUGCUCAUGAUUCAUGCUGAUUUUGGGCUUGAGGACAAGGUGAGAGGUUGAGGGAAGUGCUGUUUCCAAGCUGUCGAUUCACGAUCUGUGAUCAGUGCCAACAACUAUGUGCCUGUCAAACUUCUGCAUGAAUCGAGCAUGAUCAGGAGACACACGUGAUCCUUUCUGUGUAAGUAUGAGAACUGUGUAAGUAUGAGAACUGUGUACUUGACUGCUACUACAGCUUCCUCAGAGAGUCCACACUGUGGGGCUCAGGAGACAGGAGAGACGUUACUGGGGCCACAGUAUGAUUUAAGAGUUAGAGGCUGAGCUGUCAGAAACAACCAAGCAUUUGCUGGACAAAAGGAAAACAAUAUUGAGAAAAGAAAAAAUGCAAAAAAAAAAAAGAAAAAGGAGAAGAAAAAGUAAGUCAUGAAUCUUCAUGUGAGUAAAGAAGAAUGACUGAAGGGCCAAGCUUCUGGGAGUUAUUGAAAGCUUUCCUAAUGACUGACCUAGCCUGUCUUGGAUCGUAUCUGUGUACACUCCCAGUAGUAUAAUUCCCAUUGUACCACUUACCUGUAUUAUAGGUGUGCCAAAGGAUUUAAAUAGCUGCAAGGAGUUUCUGAUGUGUGCUUCUUAUUUUCAUUAUGAGAGGAGAUCAGAUGUUGCCCAGAAAAUACUUCCUUCAGGCAGUGUCUGUGGAAGUGCUCUGUGAUCAUGUCAGGCUCACAAAACAACUAGCUCCAUGGCCCAUCAUUUCAACAGCUUUGUGGUUAAGGCACUCUGCAGUUUUUUCUUAUCUCUGUUACUGAUGUCUGACAAAACACAAAUUUCUCAGGGACUUAGCCCCUCAUCUAUAACGUGGAAAUGUUCCUGACAAACAUAGUAGAAAGAUCAGCUCGUUUGUGAUGUCCUCACAAAGUCCAUGUAGUAUUGUACUUUGGGGAAAAAAAAAUCUAAGGUAAGCAACAACUUUUUGACACUAACAAAACAGAUUCUCAUCCCUCUGUGCCCCCGUCCAGCACCUACAUUUCUUAUUACUAACACUGAGAAUAUCUAAAAUUUCAAAAAAGUGCAUUAGAAAAAAACCUGGACAGGAUUAACACAUACCAGAGGCUAAAGUAAUACUCACAAUUAUCUUGCUGGAAAAGAAAAAAAUAAACACAAUUAUCUGAAUAAAACCAGAACUCGCAGUGCUUAGAUAGGAGGCAUACCAAUUUGGAUUUGAAUGAGUUACCAAUUCAGUGCUCGGAUAUCUACUUAAGCUGUCAAAACAUUACAUGCUGUGGAAUAUAGUAUAUAUAUUAGAUGGGUCAGAUUUAGGCCAUUUCCUUCCCACAUAUGAAAUAGGAGGUGGUUAAGUAGUGCCCGGAUUUUAAGCUUGUUCAUGGCCUCCCAUAAUCCUAUUCUCAAGUCAUGUGGUAGGAGCCAGAAGAGGAACAGAAGGAAUCAGAAGGAGCAAUUCAUAUGCUUUGUUGUAACUGCCUAUCAGCCUGAUUUUCUCAAUGCUUUCCUCUGACAGAAGCCCUGACAACCAGGCAUGAUAUACAGCAGAUGACUUAAUCACUUGACCACAUCUCAUACUCCAGAUGUUGCCUGAGGUUCUCAUGGACUUGCUACAAGCUGUUGCAGUCUCUCUGCUACUCUGUGACCUCACGUGCUCCCUUCAUCUCUGGGAGGUCUUUCUGGAAAAUAAGCCCACCAAAAGGUACAUUCUUCAACUGCAAACACAGCUGCAUGAGAUCCCUCGUGUGUCUGAACUGCUUCCAGCACAGAAAACACUUUGCAAAUUCUCUGCAAAGAGAUUUACCACAGGAUACAAGGGUUUGAAUGCAACUCUUGAGCAUGUGUGUUUGGAAUAGGAUGGGUUUAUCCUUUGACAGGUCAGAAGAAGAACAAUAAACUUUAAAGACAGGCAUAUAAUUUAUGUUUGGACAUCUGGCUCUGUCAUGUGCUGUGAAGCUGAUUCUCAAUUGGGAAGCAAAGAGGCAAAAUUCACCCGAACCAGAAGGGUAACAAAGAAUAUGACUCAGAAAAGAACUUGUGUCUGUGUUUGCAUACUGCUUUUACUGGAACUUGCUUAAACACUGCCAAAUCAGGACUAAAAGCCACUGAAACUGACAGGCACUUCACCUCUACAGGGCUACCUACAUAAUUACACUAAUACCUUAUAAGAGAUUUAUUCCCCUCCUGAGGUAUGCAUUUUUCCCUGGUGUUUUAGCAAAGCCUAUGACAGACAUUAUGAUGUGUUAAGUGAACUGCCAAAGAUCCAAAAUAGUUCCAGAUAACAAAGAACACUUUUUCUUUAACGUGCUUUAGAGGAGUAAAAUAAAUAUAUCUGGCAAUUUAAGAGCACCAGCUGAAGUGUUUAUGAAGUUGUACAUGAGCUAUUUGAUUGUAACAGU